RNAcentral lists this ribosomal RNA (820 nucleotides) under Phylloporus rubiginosus. RNAcentral describes it as "partial large subunit ribosomal RNA". It matches the Rfam family "Eukaryotic large subunit ribosomal RNA", at positions 70 to 879 of the family's 3401-position model. Lineage: Eukaryota; Fungi; Basidiomycota; Agaricomycetes; Boletales; Boletaceae. The record is from RNAcentral.
CAGGAUUCCCCUAGUAACUGCGAGUGAAGCGGGAAAAGCUCAAAUUUUGAAUCUGACGAUCUUCUGGGUCGUUCGAGUUGUAAUCUAGAGAAGCGUCUUCCGCGCUGGACCGUGUACAAGUCUCCUGGAAGGGAGCGUCAUAGAGGGUGAGAAUCCCGUCUCUGACACGGACUCCCAGUGCUGUGUGAUGCGCUCUCGACGAGUCGAGUUGUUUGGGAAUGCAGCUCAAAAUGGGUGGUAAAUUCCAUCUAAAGCUAAAUACAGGCGAGAGACCGAUAGCGAACAAGUACCGUGAGGGAAAGAUGAAAAGAACUUUGGAAAGAGAGUUAAACAGUACGUGAAAUUGCUGAAAGGGAAACGCUUGACGUCAGUCACGUCCGCCAGGGAUCAACCUUGCUUCACAAGAGCUGGGCGCAUUUCUUGGUCGGACGGGUCAGCAUCAGUCUCGAUCAUCGUAGAAUGGCAAAGGGAACGUGGCACCUCUAGGGGUGUGUUAUAGCCCUCGGUCGUAUGCGUUGGCAGGGACUGAGGAACUCGGCACGAUCGUUCUCGGUCUGUGUCUAGGAUGCUGGCAUAAUGGCCUUAAGCGACCCGUCUUGAAACACGGACCAAGGAGUCUAACAUGCCUGCGAGUGUUUGGGUGCAAAACUCGAGCGCGCAAUGAAAGUGAAAGUCGAGAUCUCUGUCAUGGAGAGCAUCGACGCCCGGACCUGAGUCCUUGACAAAGGAUCUGCGGUAGAGCAUGUAUGUUGGGACCCGAAAGAUGGUGAACUAUGCCUGAAUAGGGUGAAGCCAGAGGAAACUCUGGUGGAGGCUCGUA